RNAcentral lists this unclassified non-coding RNA (2063 nucleotides) under Cotesia glomerata. Its description in RNAcentral is "kinesin light chain, transcript variant X16". The record is from RNAcentral. Lineage: Eukaryota; Metazoa; Arthropoda; Insecta; Hymenoptera; Braconidae.
CUUAGAUAUUUAAAUUAAAAUUUUAAAAGUUUCAUAAGAAGAAGUGUAGAGUCUUGAAAUUAGUGCGGCAUUUAAUUAUAAGAGUUUAAUUAACUCGAUUUAUAUUUAUAUUUAAAUAAAACGCUGAUGUCUUCGGCUAGACGUUAGCGACACAAAUCGAUAUCGCCGUAUAUAUAUAAGGGUUUUAUCUUUUUUAUACGGAUUAGGUAGGUCUGGCAGAUUCUGAUAUUAUCAAUGGGUAGAACUGAUAUGUCUAAAACACUUAAUGCCUAUAGAAUAAAAAAAAUAGAACACAUUGGCAGAAUGACAGCCAUGACGCAGGAAGAAAUAAUAGCUGGCGCCCGAACAGUGGCCCAGGGCUUGGAAGCUCUGAGGGUCGAACACACUGGACUCCUCCAAGGACUCCAGUCUCAAGAGGCACCGGAGGCUCGUGACAAAGUCAGCCUCCUCUGUAAAAAUAUUGAGAUGAUAGAGCUGGGCCUGGGCGAAGCUCAGGUAAUGAUGGCUCUCGCGAGCCAGCUUCAAAUGGUUGAGGCUGAAAAACAAAAAUUAAGAACUCAAGUCAAAAGGCUUUGUCAAGAGAAUGCUUGGCUACGUGAUGAGCUUGCUGGUACUCAACAGAAGCUACAGGCUAGUGAACAAGCUGUUGCUCAGUUGGAAGUCGAUAAAAAACACAUCGACUUUAUGGAAAGUAUGAGACAAUACGAUCCAGAUCCACCAGCAGACGAUGAAAAUGUAAAAGACAAACCAAAGGAAGAUCCAAUGGUCGAUUUGUUCCCGGAUGAUGAAGGGGACGAACGAAACAGUAAGUCAAUGUCACCAACCCCGCCGUCACAAUUUGCCCAGCAAGUGAACGCCGGCUACGAGAUACCCGCACGUCUGCGUACGCUGCAUAAUUUAGUAAUACAGUACGCAAGUCAAGGCCGCUAUGAAGUUGCAGUUCCACUGUGCAAGCAAGCACUGGAGGACCUUGAGAAGACCUCGGGUCACGAUCACCCAGACGUCGCAACAAUGCUUAACAUACUGGCGCUAGUCUACCGCGAUCAGAACAAGUACAAGGAGGCGGCCAAUUUGUUGAACGACGCGCUCGCGAUCCGUGAAAAAACCCUCGGGGAAAAUCACCCAGCAGUCGCCGCGACGCUUAAUAAUUUGGCGGUGCUCUACGGAAAGCGUGGCAAGUACAAGGAAGCUGAGCCGCUCUGCAAGCGUGCUCUGGAGAUCCGGGAGAAAGUUCUUGGUCGCGACCAUCCAGACGUAGCCAAGCAGCUGAAUAAUUUGGCGCUUCUCUGUCAGAACCAGGGCAAAUAUGAAGAAGUUCAGAGAUAUUACCAGCGUGCGUUAGAAAUCUAUGAAGCUAAGUUGGGUCCAGACGAUCCCAAUGUUGCUAAGACGAAGAAUAAUUUGGCAUCUUGUUAUUUAAAACAAGGAAAAUACAAAGAUGCUGAAGUUUUAUACAAACAAGUUCUCACUAGAGCACAUGAGCGGGAAUUCGGUGCUAUCGAUGGUGAUAAUAAACCUAUUUGGCAGGUCGCCGAAGAACGAGAAGAAAACAAACAUAGAAAUAAAGAAAAUGCACCUUAUGGCGAGUACGGUGGAUGGCACAAAGCGGCUAAAGUUGACUCACCCACCGUAACUACGACGUUGAAGAAUUUAGGAGCUCUUUACAGACGACAGGGCAAAUACGAGGCUGCUGAAACCCUUGAAGACUGUGCUCUGAGAUCACGCAAGGAACAUUUGCAGCAGGCCCUGGAUUUAGUAAAACAAGCUAAAGUCGCACAAAUACUUGGUGAUGAGAAAGGCUCAACGCGACGUGGAUCACGUUCGAGCCUGGCGAACAGUGAGCACGAGCAGCACGACGAGUUACGCGGGCCCGGGGCUUAGGUACAGUCAUAGUCGAUGUUCUGGACAGUAUACAAGUGAGAAGAGUUUGUCGAGGGACCUCAAUGGGAAUCAAAAGACUUGAGAAAUAUACGCUGUACAGAAUCGAAAGUAACAUGCACGGAUCAUUAAUUAUUAAUGGAUUAAUGGAUUAAUAAGCCACUGAGGACAAAUAAGUGUCAAGA